AGAUCUCAAAAGACUGAGUAUGUAUUUCAUUGUGAUGAUCUGAAAGUCAUUAAAUAUUUAUACAUAAAGGCUUUUUUUUUUUUUUAAAACCAAAUUUGAUAAAAAUACAGCCUGGAAGAAAGUAAGUCCAAAUCUAGUCCACCCAAGGACAGAAACAUUUUCUAUGGGAAUGAUAGAGGCAGAUAUCAUAGAAGAGUCUAGGCCUCACAUCAGCUCCAUAGUGGAACAAAGAGAAGGAGCUGGUUACAGUCACUGCUUUUUUAUAAAUUCCUGGAGGAACCAGAGCACUGUUGUUUGGCAUAACCAGUUAUAGUUGUGUUAGUACAUCCAAUAUUCCUGUUCUAGAAUAUUAACUGAAGGCCUCAAGAAGGUUAUAUGAAAACAAGUAAUUUGGAGUCUUCACCUGGGUCUAAACAACAUGGAGUGUUCCAAACAACCAAAGCAGAAGCCUAUGUUAGUGGGAUGCACACCUACGGGGCACACCUACAUGGACUACAGCUGCAUUGUGGUCUCCAGUCUGUGUCUAUGGGCAAGUUACAAAUUCCUCUAAACCAAUUUCUCAUCUGCAAAAUAUGGUUACAGUAAUAUCUGCCCUGUUAUCUUACUAGGUUGGUGAAAGGACUGAAUGAGAUGAACUACAUGAAAAUCCUUCAGGAAACAUUCCAUGCUGUGCAAACCAAAGGUUGAAUCCCCAGGAGCCCACUGAAAAUAUUCGAACCACUGGAGAGUGCUGGGGCAAAGGUGAGCAUCAGUUGAUGAGGAAGGUGUUUCCGUGUGUUGGGAAAGGUGUCAGCUCUCUUGGAGUGGAAAGCAGAAGAGCUGAGGACACGGGAGCCACUGUGUCGGAAUCUCGACAGGGUGUGUGAGGAUACCAGUGUGCUAGAAGCUGGCUAACUGGCCAAAUUUUGCUUGAGAAGCUCAGCACAGCACCCCGGAAGCUAGAUGAACCAUGAAGUGCUCUUCAAGGCUUGCGUGUGCUGAAGUCAGAAGACUAGGGAUGGUUGUGAGAUGACCUCUCUCAUCACAGCACCACCAAAGGCUGUGAAGUAGUUUUGUACAGUUCCAUUUUUAGCACCUGCAAACCAUACUCACUGGAAAAAAAGCAAGGCAGAAAACUGCUAGUGUGAAGAUGGCAGAAUGAGGCGAUCUCUGCUCACCCCUCCUCUCUGAAAUCAGCUUGGGAACACAAUAAGAAAACAAGGGGGAAGGAGCCGGGGAGAGUGAGAGAGAGAGCGAGAGAGAGCGAGACAGAGAGAACGCGCGAGAGAGCUGUAUUCUGAUGAAAGUAGGCUUGAUCUUCAACACCAAGCCACACUGGGGAUGUAUAUCAAACCAGAGGGAGGGAGGCCUCAGACGAUGGCUGCAAGGGCAGCACUGGGCAUCCUGUCCACAGAAAAAGUCACCACUGUAUUUCUGGUUCCUGAAAUGGGCACCUGGUGUAUGAGGCUGGCUGAGACUGUUUUUCUCUUUCUCCACAUUAUCUAACACUAUAAAUAAAAUGUUCGGAGCAGA
Non-coding RNA from Ictidomys tridecemlineatus (thirteen-lined ground squirrel), 1512 nucleotides. The record is from RefSeq and is a predicted model, not a curated record. NCBI's taxonomy places the organism in Eukaryota, Metazoa, Chordata, Mammalia, Rodentia, Sciuridae.